RNAcentral lists this ribosomal RNA (510 nucleotides) under Phaeosphaeriopsis glaucopunctata. RNAcentral's name for it is "eukaryotic LSU rRNA". The stretch from base 150 to 303 matches the Rfam family "5.8S ribosomal RNA". Lineage: Eukaryota; Fungi; Ascomycota; Dothideomycetes; Pleosporales; Phaeosphaeriaceae. The record is from RNAcentral.
CUAUCAUUAUCGCGGAGGAACUUGUGAACUCCCUUUCUCCAUCCUUGUCUUUUGAGUACUUAUGUUUCCUUGGUAGGCUUGCCUGCGAAUAGGACAACCAAACAACCUUUUUAAUUUUUAUUCAGCGUCUAAAUAAUUUUAAUAAUUACAACUUUCAACAACGGAUCUCUUGGUUCUGGCAUCGAUGAAGAACGCAGCGAAAUGCGAUAAGUAGUGUGAAUUGCAGAAUUCAGUGAAUCAUCGAAUCUUUGAACGCACAUUGCGCCCCUUGGUAUUCCAUGGGGCAUGCCUGUUCGAGCGUCAUUUGUACCUUCAAGCUAUGCUUGGUGUUGGGUGUUUGUCCUCUCAUUGCGUUUGGACUCGCCUUAAAACAAUUGGCAGCCAUUAUAUUGGUAUUGGAGCGCAGCACAGAUUGCAGUUCCAGCUAAAAAUAGUGGCAUCCAUUAAGUACUUUUAACACUUUUGACCUCGGAUCAGGUAGGGAUACCCGCUGAACUUAAGCAUAUCAUA